Molecule: ribosomal RNA, 492 nt
Filed under: uncultured bacterium
Lineage: Bacteria
Description: partial 16S ribosomal RNA
Rfam family: Bacterial small subunit ribosomal RNA
Source: RNAcentral
AGUGAACGCUGGCGGUAGGCCUAACACAUGCAAGUCGAACGGCAGCACAGUAAGAGCUUGCUCUUACGGUUGGCGAGUGGCGGACGGGUGAGGAAUACAUCGGAAUCUACUUUUUCGUGGGGGAUAACGUAGGGAAACUUACGCUAAUACCGCAUACGACCUACGGGUGAAAGCAGGGGAUCUUCGGACCUUGCGCGAUUGAAUGAGCCGAUGUUGGAUUAGCUAGUUGGCGGGGUAAAGGCCCACCAAGGCGACGAUCCGUAGCUGGUCUGAGAGGAUGAUCAGCCACACUGGAACUGAGACACGGUCCAGACUCCUACGGGAGGCAGCAGUGGGGAAUAUUGGACAAUGGGCGAAAGCCUGAUGCAGCAAUACCGCGUGGGUGAAGAAGGCCUUCGGGUUGUAAAGCCCUUUUGUUGGGAAAGAAAAGCAGCAGGUUAAUACCCCGCUGUUCUGACGGUACCCAAAGAAUAAGCACCGGCUAACUUCGUG